GAGGCGGCCCCCGGGCGCCAUUUUGUGACGGCGGCGGUGGCGGCGGUCCUUUCCCAUUUUAGGCCCGGGGAGGCGGGGGCGCCGACCGGGGCCGGGUCGAGGACGGAAGGACGGACGCCGCCCUCUCCGCGGCCGGCGGCUGGGAGGCGUGCGGGCGAGGAGGAGCGCGGGGAUGGCGGCGGCCGGGCGAGGGGGACGUCGGCGCCGCGGCCUGGGCCCGACCGGAAGUGGAGGAGCGUCCGGCCGCCAUGGCGGACUCUUGCCAAAUUCAGUUUUGCGGCACAGUAGAAACGAUGUAGUCGGUGUUGAAUGGCAAGGUCAGAGAGCCGGAAGGGAUUCGACCACUGUUCCUUUUGCCACUUCUCCCAUCUUUUGGCUUCGGAGGACUUCUACCCUCUGAACUCCGGACCGCCUUUUGAACUGGGUGCCAAAGUCCCGGGGUUGCCCAGAGCCCAAUCACACACCCGCCAACCCUCCCAAAGUGCCAAACACAAAUUACUUAGAGAAUCAGUUACUUGAGUAACUGGAAAAAAGACCCCCAAACCUCAUUUUGGUUACGCGCACCUUUGUCUUGCUUGAAGUACUAAAGAGAUGUGCUGUUUCAUCCAGGUGAUUCUGGUUUUGAGAGUCACUCGAUAGGUGCUCUGAAUAUUACGUUAGGUUUCCCAUCGGAAGGGUUGCUUCUUUUUGACAGCUGAAGAGCCAGUAUAACAUCCAGGAGGCCGACCCCGAUGGGGUCUUUUUAAACACCGGCGUCCUGGAUAGAGUUUAUUUUGUAGCCCAAAGAGAGUGGAAUCGAAAGUCCAAGUUAUAAAUUAAGGAAAAGACCAAUUUUUCACUGGCACGUAUUUUUAGGCCUCGUUUGAAGGGAGAAAACCCACCCGGUUAUGAGAACGUGGCGCAACGGUUGUCUUCCAGCAGUGUUAGAGGGUUUUCUCUCAAGUUUGCAAUUUAUAAAGCCAAAAUGCUAACAGUUGUAGAGCUCGUUUGGAAUAUGUUUCGUCAGCAUGCUUAGCCUCCGGUAUCCUCUGGGUUGUGCAUCCGCCGAGGGCUCGAUGUUGAAAACGUUAAUAGGUUCUUAAUUUGCCUUUCAGAAAAAUGUCGGUAUUUUCGAAAGCCGACGCAAGAGCUUCCAAUUUUAAGAGAAGUGAAUCCGCCUCCUUCCUCUUCCCCUGAAUUACUGCUGCCACUCUGGCACUCUCGUCUUGGUAUGUAGUCUUGCAACACUGCAGGGAAACAUUUGAGCUGUAAGAUUUGGGAAUCGGCCGGGAGGACUGGAAAUGGCGAAGCAGAACCUGGUAGGCUCUACUCAGUACGUGUAAUCCCCAGAGGCCUCGGCCCCAAGUCGCAACGUGGUCUCCGCCGGCCGGCUUCUCCGGGUCUUCUCCUCGGAGGAUACCGAAAAGCCGCUUGGACCGCUCAGGUGAUGCUGUCUCAGUGACUCCGGUCACCGCGAGGAGAGUGAAAUGACAGAACGGUUUUCUGAUCCGGCCUCCUCAUUCCCGCUCCGAUGGAUUUGGCUGGGUGCUGCCCUUCCCCGCGAGAUUGUACGGACAGGUGCCGUCUAGCCCCGUCCGCUCUCCUUCGUCGGCUGAUCUAGGCCUAGACGGGAUCCCCAGUGACCUGCGGACUUUUGGCGGGAGGAGGCGGGGAUCCUCGGACCCCUUCUUGUGCUGAAUUUUCCAUCUGUCCCCUUGGCCACUUCUCAGGUAGCAUCGGUGGGAGAGAUUCGAUAUACAUGUAGAAGUCAUUUUUGUAGUGCAGUUCUUGAAAUGUAUCUGCCAACUACUUUUAUCCAGUCUUUUUUAAAAAAAAAAAAAUAUAACGGUUUUGUUAAGCGUUUACUAUGUGCCAGGCACUGAACUAAGCGCGGGGGCAGGUACAAGUUACUCAGAUCGAAGGCCACGUGUCACAGUCAUAAUCCCCAUUUUUCAGAUGAGGUAACUGAGGCCCAGAGAGGUGAUAUGACUUGGUCCGGGUCACAUAGCCAAGAAGUGGCAGGGGCUGGAAUUAGAACCCAGGUCCUUGUGACUGCCAGGCCUGUGCUGUAUCCACUUAGGUCACGCUUCUUCUCUGGCUGCUCUUGUCUUUCUAAGUUCAACUUGCGGACCUGGCUCAUCGCAAGCUCUUCAUUUAUAUUUAGGGGCAGCCUGACUGGUGUGGGUUAGAUUUUUCCUAGCUGUGAGUUAAGAUUCUAGAUCGUGUUAGAAAAGGGAAAUGGGAUUGCACGCAGUUUCUUUAUUUUGUAGUUUAAGAUUCGUCUUUCAAGGGGCUCACUCGUUACCCACAGUAUUUGUUGAACACCUGACGUAUCCACGCAUCGAUUUUUAGCUCGGUCUGAGGGAUGUGUGUACGUUCAUAUCGGCAGCCUUUAUGGAGCAGAGAUCUUGUGAACGCGGGGCAGUCGUUACUGUUUUAGUCUUACGACGCUGUCCAUCCACGGCGCUCCCUCCUUCUUAGAUGAUCUCCAGGACAGUCGCUAGAGAUGGGCCCAGUCGCUUCGUAGAGGGAUUUUAUCUUUUCAGUUCCAUCCCAACCUCUCCACCGAAUCGGAAUCCCGACCACGUUCGUUCUCUCGUCCGUCUUUGUGGGUGGCCCCAUCUCCUGAGGUGAGAUCUCUUGUACUUUUAGUAAGCGGAAGUCAAGAAAUUCAGCUUAGGACGUGAUCGUCUUGCUCUCUCUCGAGGCGGUUCGCCCAUUAACGUUCCUCCGUGCCGUCGACCCGCGUUUUUUAAAAAUCUCUCGGAACCCAGCGUUCCCCGCUUCUGGCGUUUGGGUUUCAGUGCUUCUUCUAGUCGAUCCUCCGGCCUGUACUGUUGCUUGGUCUCGAGGCGAAGGUGGUUUGAGGGGUGGGUUGUUCACCGGAUUGGUUGAGAAAGCUCAUCCUGGUUUAAAAACGUGUUUUAAACCACUGCGGCAGGUCCCCUAGGAAGGAGCAAGUCACGGGUCUCCACAUUGGGUGAUGAUGAUGGCAUUUGUUAAGCGCUUACUAGGUGCCAAGCACUGUUCUGAGCGCUGGGGUCGACCCAAGAUCAGCAGGUUGUCCCACGUGGGGCUCACGGUCUUAAUUCCCAUUUUACAGAGGAGGUAACUGAGGCUCAAAGAAGUUAAGUGACUUACCCGGAGUCACCCAGCUGACAAGUGGCGGAGCGGGGAUUAGAACUCACCACCUCUGACUCCCAAGCCCGGGCUCUUUCCACUAAGCCACGCUGCUUCAUCGAUGGCAUUUAUUGAGCGCUUACUGUGUGUGCGGAACACCGGUCGGCCCCACAGAGUUGGCAGUGUUCCCUGCCCGCAACGAGCUUGAAACCUAGAGGGGGAGACAGACGGUAAUGUAAACAAAUAAUUGGUAGUGGGUAUGUUCCUCAGAGGCCCAAGCAAAGGGGAAGUCGAGUUUGUACUCGCUUGUGGAACUAGUCUUGGGGGCACGGUGUCGUCGAAGACCAUUCUUCCUUCCUUUUAAAGACCCACAACUGGAGAGAGGGAGUUAAAUGUGAAGUGUGCCUGCCUCCCACAGAUCAGGCCAUGAAAAGUGCUAAUAGCUAAAUCCCUGUGUCUUUUUUUUUUUCUUCUUCUUCUUCUUCUUCUUUGAACUAAUGUCAGAAUAAUGGGGUAGAUGACUGCCCACAGUGGGUCAGGGAAAGGAGAGCAAACACGUAGGCUUUGGCGAGAUUUGCGGGGGUGGGGAAAGGAAGAUGGAUAGGUAGAGGUUUUUUGGGUUUGUUUUUAAACGAGCUUUCUCAGUUCAUCUAAUCCUUGUUUAGGGUCCUCCAAGUUCCCGUCCCCCUCCCAGCCAAUCCAUCUCUGCCCUUCUCACCUCGGCCUUCCACCCACUUGUCCAUUCGGUCGGGGGCUUUUAUCGAGCACCUCCUGUGAACGGGAUCCUGAACUAGGGAGAGUACAGUAAAAAUAAAAAAACAAGGUCCAUGGCUGUCACGCACGGUCCAGAAGGGGACAGGUCCAGCACUUGGUUCCUCGGGGGGAAAAAAGGUGCUUCUCGCCUCACUUCGUCUCAGAUUCCAAGACGCCGCUUCAGGUGGUGGCGGGAUAAGGACUCCAGCAGUGGGAUUUCAGCCGACUGUUGAGAUGGGAUCUCCCGCAACCUCGCCCUGAGGUUCGGCAAAGCGGGCGGGGGCGACGGGAGUCUCGUUGGGAGAAAGAGGCCGAGAAAGCGCCACCUCAUUUACCUCUGCCUCGAUGCCACAGUGGGCUUGGCCGGGGGCUCGAGAGAAGACUUGUUUCCUCUAUAAGAAAGCAGCUGUUUCCUGUCCCCAUUUUUAUGGACUCAGGAGAGCUGGAGAAGGGUAUCCUGGCUCGCUGAGGGUA
This 4326-nucleotide long non-coding RNA is filed under the name Ornithorhynchus anatinus (platypus). RNAcentral's name for it is "lncRNA (ENSOANG00000040469.1)". Lineage: Eukaryota; Metazoa; Chordata; Mammalia; Monotremata; Ornithorhynchidae. The record is from RNAcentral.